RNAcentral lists this ribosomal RNA (288 nucleotides) under uncultured bacterium. Its description in RNAcentral is "partial 16S ribosomal RNA". It matches the Rfam family "Bacterial small subunit ribosomal RNA", at positions 29 to 334 of the family's 1533-position model. The record is from RNAcentral.
AGCGAACGCUGGCGGCGUGCCUAACACAUGCAAGUCGAACGUGAACAGGGGCAACCCUUAGUAAAGUGGCGUACGGGUGAGUAACACGUAGGUAAUCUACCCUAGAGUCUGGAAUAACUCGCCGAAAGGCGUGCUAAUACCGGAUGAUGUCGUAAGACCAAAGAUUUAUCGCCCAGGGAUGAGCCCGCGUAAGAUUAGGUAGUUGGUGAGGUAAAGGCUCACCAAGCCGACGAUCUUUAGCUGGUCUGAGAGGAUGAUCAGCCACACUGGGGCUGAGACACGGCCCAG